Molecule: long non-coding RNA, 4722 nt
Filed under: Sparus aurata (gilthead seabream)
Lineage: Eukaryota; Metazoa; Chordata; Actinopteri; Spariformes; Sparidae
Description: lncRNA (ENSSAUG00010012005.1)
Source: RNAcentral
AUGAAGGAUGUGAGGCCUGAUCGCAGCUAUCAGUGCAUCAUAGUCGAUGAGGUGGACUCCCUGCUGCUGGAUCAGGGAGUGCAGCUGACCUACCUGUCCAGCCCCAUGGUCUCCAUGCAGCACCUCAACAUUAUUCUGGCCAUGAUCUGGAGCCACGUCAGCCAGUAUGGCUUCCUGUCUACAGGACAGCAGAUAUUUGUCAGAGGUCCUCCUGCUUCUUUCUUCAAGGCCAUUUUUGACUCAAUGAACACAGAAGGAACUGAAAUUAAUAGUCCAAUGGAUAUUUUAAGUAUCGCUGAAAAAUCCAACAUUGUGCCAAAAGGAUUUACAGAAGAUUUCUACAAAAGUGAAAAAGAUGAACUUCUCAGGAAGCUGAGCACUGUCAGUCAGGAUGCUAUGAUAGAUUUUUUCACAGCACUUGAGGACUAUGUUCCUUAUGGUUUCACUGUUUACACCUUAGAUGGCGAUGGAUCGCUCUGUCUUCGAAAGUGUAGCCGGUACAAAGAGCAGGACACACCAGAACUAACAUUCCUUGUCUUGGAGGAAGGCCGGUGUUGUCCUCUCUAUGAUUCAGAGGAAACCGUCAUCAAGCCCAUUGCACAGUUAAUCUCAGAGAGGAUUCAGUACAGCCCAUGUCCAAACAGUGAAGGCAAAAUCAGCAUCCCUGAAUUCCUGAAGAACCUGGUGGAGAUGAAAGUGUCAGUGUGGGUUCAGAGCGCCUUCCUGGCUUUACAACUGAGGGAGGGACAGGAAUAUGUUGUAGAAAAAGAUCGUGUCUGUCCGGUGGAUUUCAGAUCCACUGGUAUUGUUGAACUGAACAAGAAGUGGGGAGAUGGUCUGCAGCAGUUUGUUGAGAUUAAACACCAAAUCAAACUGAGCACAAUAUCAACAGUGACAAACUACAUUUCUAACAUCUCCCUGUUUAAAAAGUACAACGGGAAAAUAUACGGAACUACAGGAACACUUGGGAGCAGAACAGACAUCCUCUUUUUGCAGGAGCUAUAUCCAGAUCUGUCAGCCUGCAAGAUGCCAACAUUCAACAGGAAGAAGUUAUUUGAGGUCAAAGGUUCUCUGAAGACUUCAGCUGAAGAGUGGAAAUCUGAAAUAAGACGAGCAGUUUUGACUCAGAUUUCUCCAAAUCCAUACAGAGGUGGGAGAGCAGCCCUGGUGAUCUGUGAAACUAUCAACAAAGCCAACAAGAUCUAUGAAGAGCUGAAGAGCAGCAACCAAGGAGAAAUCACUCUCUACUGCCGCAGUGACACAGACAGUUUGUGUAAAAUAGAUAGAGAACUGCUUCCUGGUGAUGUCAUUGUUGCCACAAACCUCGCCGGGCGAGGCACCGACAUAAAAGUGUCCAAAGAAGUGAACAAUAAUGGAGGAUUAUUUGUGGUCCUCUCCUUCCUUUCUGAGAACACAAGAGUGGAGCUCCAGGCUUUUGGUCGAACUGCACGUAAAGGUAAACCUGGAUCUGCUCAGAUAAUCAUGUCGACUGAUCACCUGCAGCCGGCCUUCAGGACGGUGACUUCUCUGGAGGAAGCCAAGAGCACCAGGGACAGACUUUCAGCAGAAAAGAUAAAUCACAUGAAGAACGAUGUCACUGAGUUAAAACUGAGAGAGGACCUGUUUUCAGAGUACCUCAAAACUCUCCAAGACAUUCAUAAGAACACAGAUGAAGAUGAAAAAAGAGCUGUUGUUGCCGUCAUGAAUGAGUUCUGGGGGAUUUGGUUGCAAACUAAAUCAGAAGAAAUUGAACAGUUGAAGAGAAACGAGUUGCAAACAAGUUUAAAAGCUGAGUUGUCUUCAGCAAAAAGUCAGUCUCAGAGUCAGACUUCACCGUGUUCCAGCAUUUAUCACUACAUCAAGUUUGGAAAUAUCGCACUGAGUGACAAACAAUGGAACACCAGCAUCAGGCUGUUUGAAAGAGCCAUGGAACAAGAUGAAAGCUGGGCAGCCAUAGCUUUUUACAAUCAUGCAUACUGCAUUAUACAGCAGCAGAGUGCAGAUUACCUAGCUAAGGCCAGAGACGAUCUAAUGAAGGCAAAAGAGUCUCUGAAGUAUCUCAGUGAGGAGUGCAUGAUCUGUCUGCAGUUGGUAAAAAUGUCCUCUGCUAACUUGACCAACAGUGACGCGAGCAGCCUCGAGAAACAGUUAACAAACAAGUGCACCAUGUUGAGUUACUUCGACAAAAACAUCAGUGAGGCCAUCAAAAAGCUGGAUGAAAUCAAAGAAGGAGGGAAGGACGCAGUGGCCAAAAAAUCACCUAUUUGCUCCCUGGUGAAAAGUGCGGACAAAGAUCUCCAAGUGGAAGCCGACAACCUCUACAGCCAAGGUCUGAAAUAUGUGUUUUCCGUGGAAGUAGAACCUUGUUUCCCAUGGGGAGCUCUGGUAGAGUUCCUUCUAGGAGUUUUACAGGUUGUUGUAGGAGCAGUGCUCAUUACAGUUACAUUCGGUACAUUUGCUAAUUUCGGCUUGGGACUUAUUGCUGAAGGAAUAACAGACUGCAUCUCUGGCAUAGAGUCUAUGGUGAAAGGAGAAUUCAGCUGGAAAUCAUGGGCUAUUAAUAAAGCCAUUUCCAUCGGUCUAGCUCUUGUUGGUUUUGGAGUUGGAAAGCUGAUUGCAAAGGGCUUCAAAGCUUGUAAGACAGCGAUUAAGGGAUUCGGCAAACAGCUAAAGUCAAUGCCAAAGUUUCUUUCCAGCCAGACUAAAGAGGGUUUGAGUGUUGUAGCAAAGACAAAUAUGAACAAUGCAGGAAUACUGGUUGCUAAAAAAAUGGUAGAGGAAACCAUUAUGUAUGGAAUUGGGAAGGUAGAAGAUAUGAUACUGAAUGAAAUACUCAACAGCAUCAAAGAUCAGGUGAAGGAGAUGAUUGUUAAAAAUGUGAAAUCCAACAUGGAAACAAAGCCCUUGGCUGCAUCAGUAGACUUAAUUAUCUUCUCACAUCUCGAGGAUAAAAAGCAACUUAGUGAUCUCCUGAAGGACGAGAACAGGAGGAAUGAUCUGUUGGCUACCUUCAGACAGUUAAUCAAUGCUGCAGUUCAACCAUUCUAUGCAGACCUCAGCUGGCAGAACAAACUUCACUCAACUAUCUACACAGUGAUUGACAGCGCUAAAGCAAAGGCCUCAGGAAAAGCAGAAAAAAUUCUGAACGUCAUCAAAUUUGCCCACAUGGCGGCACUGGCAGGAGAGGCGGUCUUUGCAGUGAACAGCCUCUCCAGCAAGUUUUUCUCAAACCUUAAAGACCAGCUGGAUAUAUUUACAAGACAAUCAGGUUUUUCAGAAGAAGAGAAGGUGAAUGAGCUGUCUGAUUCUGAUUCAGAGAUGCUGAAAGAAUUCAAGCAGGAUUUAAUCGACACCAUCAGUGCUUCAUUGGCUGAUGCUGUGGUAGAAGUGUUCCACCAGAAGAUCUCAAGUCACAUGGUGUCUCUUGUUCAAGGCAAAAUAAAUGGCUUCUUUCGCUGUCAUGUUAGAACUGAUUUAAACAGUGGUAGAACAGAGGAACUACUCAGAGCUGGACAGAACAACAGAUACAUCGCACACAUGCCAGUAGACAAGAAUCCUCGUCAGGACCUCUCGGUCAAAGCCGUUCAACACUCACAGUCACAUGCUGAGGACAUCAUAAACUCCGGGACUCCAGGCACCAUUCUUGAUAUCAGAGUCCUGUCAGAAGCCACUGGCACUAAUGUUGUCAUCCUAACAGAGGAUAGCAAAGGUCGACUUAUCAAAAUGCAGGAGCUGAGCCCAGGAACCAAACCCUCCAGUCAAACUGUGACACUGAUCUACCGACCAAAGAGUGACCAAUACCCAGACGGACAUUAUGAUGUGCAAAUCAAUAACCAGACAGUGAGCAUAGUCAGCGAACAUGGGGACUGCCUGUUUCAUGCUUGGGCACGAGGCACAAGACCAGAAGCCAGUGAAAGAGAGGUCGCUUCAGAAGCACAACGUCUCCGAUCUUUGGAGAAUAAAACACUCCUCACACAUCCCGGCCAAUGGGAGCCUUUCGUGAAGCGCAAAGUGUGGACUGACUCAAUAAGAGGAGGAGACUGGUUCAUGUCAAAGGGAGCUGCAAACAAGCCUCUGACAGAAGCCGAAGAGAAAGAAAUACUGAAGAAACUUGUUGGACAAAUACAACUCUACAAAGACAAAGCAAAUCAAGGAAUUGGACAUGUGAUCCAUGCAGAUCAUCAGCCACCAGUGAAGUCUAUAGUACUAGCUGGAAAAUUGAACCAGAAUAGCAGAUUAGCAAAAGCCUUUCUUGAGGUGGCAACAAAUUCAUCUCCUCUGAAUGACAAACUGAUUGAUAAAGUAAGAGAGAGUCAUGGCCCUAACCUUCCAACUGUUUAUGUGCCAGCUCAAAUACAUAUGGAGUUUCCCAGUACCAGAUCACCAGCCUACAGGGAACUCUUAGCUGAAUCCAUAAGCAACAAUGAUGUUGAGGCCACCUUCAAACUGAUGAUCAUUGGUUCAAUGCCCAGAUUCAGGUUGAAUAGCAACAACAACUUCAAUAACUUUCAGCACGACACGAUGAGUAAAACCAGGCUCGCUAGAUUUGAAGCCAGUUUUCAGCAACACAGUAUAAAUAUGGUGGAGUGGUGGUCCAACCGGCUUCAAGACAAGGGAGUCAUGACAGAAACCCAGUUAGACAACAUCAGAGAAUGGACAAAGAAGAGCGGCUACAAUGAUCAAAACGAUCGCUACAGGAACAAAGUCUCUGAUCUCCUGUAA